UUUCCAUACCCCCUUAUUGUUCUCUUUUGCCUGCCCUUCGGCUUGAAAGGUAUGUUGUCCUUGGCUCCGAAAUUGUUCAAUAUAAAACCGUGGUAAUGUUGCACAAUGUACUGUUAUGCUACCAUAAGUUUGUUACAAUGUGGAUAAUAUAAAGAUUUAUGUUAACAAGGUUCACAAAGCUCGCUAACUAGGGUAUCUAUUGUAACUUGUGAGUACUUGGGACAGUGUUUGAGUGAGUGUCCAUGUGCUUGCGCAGGUGCCUGAGAGCUAGGACUGCGCCAAGGGUUAACAUAAUGUGUGUUGUCUCUUCGUGUGCAGGGCAAAUAAAACAUUAUUCAACUAGCAGACCUCCAGUUGUGGCAGCGUCCUAAUUUAAAGUACACAACGCAGAACGAACCACUUAACAUAGGCAUAUAUAAAUAAUGUAUUUAACUUGUAAGGCAAGGUUGGAUUAGUUGGUCUAAACAACAUGCACCUGGAUAAUCGCGUCAUGAAUCGGGAUGGGCUCCUACAUCCUCAUAUACACAUUAUGACAUAAUAAAGAGUUUAAUCGUUCACGAAAUAAAGACAUAGAAGCAUACCCAUUUAUACAGGUUCUACACAUUCCAUUUCUCCAUGGCAAUAGAAUGUAAACAUUCUAUUUUGCCCCAAACAUCGCCUACAACUCCAUUCUAAGUGCAGCAUAUUGGACGAUUCAACAGUCAUUGAUCAUUCUCGACUUUAAGUCAUUCCUGUUAUGUCUAGAGCAUCCCGUAUAUCUAUAGCACUGCAUUUCUUCCUCAUCUUACCAUGGAUAGGGUUUGGUGCAUUCCGGAGUUCACUUAUGGUCCCACAAAGGUAAUCUUAGGAGAAAUUCAUUUUAGCAUACUGUAAAUGCCUGUGCAUAAUGUACAUAACAAAGCAUCAUUAUUUUCAUGAUCUUCAAAGGAAUUCUGUAGAAGCAGUCUUUAUUUUCAGACUCUGCAGGCCUGCUGGGAGGAAACAUAUUACAAUAAACAGAAGAAGCUCAUGGUCCACUAUCUGCUGCUCCAGAGUCAAGGCCAGGUCCCUCUCCAUGUCACCACGGAGCACAUGAGCAACUGGCUGGUGUCUCAGGGCAAAAAAUCCCUUAGGGGGAGGGUGUGGAAGGAAACCCUGGAGGAGGGAAACGACCUCGCUCGGCUGGCCUGGGAAGUAAACACUUGCCUAAAAAUGAUGAACAUAGAGCACGAGGCUUUCUGCAAGCUCCGCCGCUCCAUGCACCCCACCUCGCCAGCUGACAUGUGA
Long non-coding RNA from Oncorhynchus tshawytscha (Chinook salmon), 1266 nucleotides. RefSeq lists it as uncharacterized. The record is from RefSeq and is a predicted model, not a curated record. The transcript has 4 exons. NCBI's taxonomy places the organism in Eukaryota, Metazoa, Chordata, Actinopteri, Salmoniformes, Salmonidae.